AUUCAAAUUUAUUUCAAGUUCAUGCAUGCAACCCAAAUUUAUAAUUGUCCACACCUGUGCCAAAUUUAAAUUUCCCGCAUUAGGUAAGUAGAUAUUUUGUCUCCAUUCAGGCAACCAAAAAAAACUGAAAAAAUCUAUAUUGCUAAAUUUGACACAGGUGGACAAAUAUAAAUUGAGGUUGCAUGCAUGAACUUGAAAUACGCUCUAGC
Molecule: microRNA precursor, 209 nt
Filed under: Populus trichocarpa (black cottonwood)
Lineage: Eukaryota; Viridiplantae; Streptophyta; Magnoliopsida; Malpighiales; Salicaceae
Description: miR7823 stem-loop (ptc-MIR7823)
Source: miRBase by way of RNAcentral